GGGUGCGAGAGCGUCA
Molecule: unclassified non-coding RNA, 16 nt
Filed under: synthetic construct
Source: RNAcentral